CUUUACUCUGUCGGCGUCCGAAGGAAACGGGCGGUUUUCAACACAUUCCUCUUGAAGUAGUUGUAUUUACCAAAUAAAUGCAACAUCAGUGGUGUUGGCAAUCACACAUCAGCAGUAUAUUUUUGUCUGUCAAGCUAAACCGCCCACCCAAGUUAUGUUGUGACUUGUGAGUAGUGACUUCGAACGAUCCUCAACCGCCAAUCUAUUCAUAUUCCAUUUUCAAAAACAUGGAGCUCGACAUAACCUUCUUGGUUGCCGGAAGUCGAUGAAUUGCCCCAAGCCGGUUUUUCUGAUCACAAUCUCCCCUCUACGCCGUCGUAGAACCAACUAACAGGUUGUUUUGAUGAUGCUGUUUAACUAUUAAACUGUAUUUGAAGAAGCCGAACCGUUUUUUCCGCAAACUGAAACAUUUCACGAUGAAAGACGAACCGCAAAACAGCGUUAUGUUUAUCAUAAUCAAGCUUUUUCAUUUUUACAAAAAACUUGUUAGAGGUGGAAACAUGAACAGUAUGUUAAACAGAAAAAUAUGUAGGUAGGCAAAACAAAACGGGAAACUGACAUUCUUCUGCAACAUACUGUACAUUGGUUCUUUAUCGCGUUGAUUUUACCGUAAUCUUAUGACAUUUUGUUAGAUAGCAGUUUAGUUAUUUCCUUUUUUUACUUUUGCGGACUAUGUCUGCACUUGUAAAAGCGUAGUAAAGAUUUUUAAAAAGUUAAAAACAAACCAACGAUAUUAGUGAGUGUAACUGGAGCGAAGACGUCAAAGAAGUUGACCACUAUCCAUGUCAAUGGCUUGAAUUUAUGCGGCAGUUGGAUUGCUCUGGUUUGAAACUGCUUCGUUGGCUAGAACAGAAAUACGCUUUGUAA
Molecule: long non-coding RNA, 867 nt
Organism: Daphnia carinata
Lineage: Eukaryota; Metazoa; Arthropoda; Branchiopoda; Diplostraca; Daphniidae
Exons: 3
Source: RefSeq, a predicted model, not a curated record